AUGAACAUUGUGGAGAAUGACCUGAAUGAGGUGGAGAGCUCUCGGGAGAGUAGUGAAGGGGAGGAACUAAAGAGAACCAGUUGGGUGGAGUGUCUUGUGGAACUCGGCAGAAACUACUGGAAGAAUAUUUGGCAAAAAAAGGCUGUUUCGGUUUUCUCGAGAUUUUUGGUUAAAGUACCAUGGUCAGAUACUCAGAUACCAAAUCAUUUUCUCGGCUAGCCUUCUUGUGCAACUUGGCUUAUAUCAUACCAGAGAUGAAGGCCACGGAUUUGAAGAGAUACUAUGGCCUACAAUUUGUAACAUCUUCAAUAGAUAAGCAAGCGCAGGCAGAUCACAUUGUGACAAUCAAACCAAAACUUGAUCAGGAUUCUACUGCAGUGAAAUCUAUGGCCUCAGCUGAAGCUAAUCUCCGCUCGCUAAGAAAAUCACAGCAGGAUGCAGGAGAGAAUUCAUGCAGAAAUGGAGGGAGCUCACCCCAAAAUCACAAGUCUGAUAAAUAUGAAAACAUAUCAACAUCAAAGCAAGGAGCAGAAAAGGACUUUCAGUCACUGCACUUACCUUGUGAGUGGUUUGUUUGUGAUGAUCCCACUACUUAUACUCGUUUUUGUGUGAUUCAGGGUAUAGACUCCCUUGCAUCGUGGCAGGCAUAUUUCUUAUUUGAACCCAUGGAAUUUGAGGGGACUACUGUACUUGCUCACCGAGGAAUUUAUGAACUGGCAAAGAAACUUUAUGAGCAUUUCAUUCCUGAAAUAAUCGACCAUUUGAUAAGACAUGGUGAGCAAGCGAAGCUUCAAUUUACUGGCCAUUGUCUUGGAGGAAGCCUCUCUGUUAUACUCCAGUUGAUGCUACUGACUAGGAAGGUCGUCAGUCCCUCAAAUCUUCUGCCUGUCGUCACAUUUGGCUCCCCAUAUGUGUUCUGUGGAGGCCAGAAAAUAUUUGAGCAACUAAGAUUGGAUGAGUGCAAUCACAUCCGUUCUGUUAUGCUGCACAGAGAUAUUGUCCCUAGAUCUUUCUCCUCCAAAAUUUCUGAUCAUGUCACAGCAAUUCUCAAGAGUUUACAUGGUCCAUUAGAGUCACACCCUUGUCUAACAAAGAAUAAGAUAUUGUACUCUCCCAUGGGUAAACUGUUUAUUGUCCAACCUGAUGAAAUGUCAUCUCCUCCACACCCUCUACUCCCGUUAGGUAGCGCUCUCUACGCUUUGAACAGUACCCGAGAUGGAUUCUCCUUGAGUGUAUUGAUGGACUUUUUGAAUUCCCCACAUCCACUAGAAACACCAAGUGAUCCUACAGCAUAUGGUUCAGAAGGUACAAUUAUAAGGGAUCAUGACUCGAGCAACUAUCUGAAGGCCAUGAAUGGGAUUGUAAGGCUAAACACCAGAAUUCUCCGGACAGCAAGGAAGAGGAGUAAUAUCUUGUGGCCGCUGCUUAAUUCACCACCACCAAGCUCAUGGAACCAUGAAGAUGAAAGCGACAUAGAGAGCUAGCUAGUUUCUACCAGUUGGUAUCCUCAUUGUUGGCAACUCUCAUUCUCUUCUAACCAUAUAGCUAGGACAAGUUUCAUGUGAAAAUAUAAACUUUAGCAAUAUAGAUAAGCGUGGAACAAAUCUAUUACAUAUCAACAAAUGUAGCAUCAUUAACAACGUCGCAGUAACAAUUUCAAGAACUUUCACAAUAACUCAAGAAAACAAUGAGCAUGCUUGACAUACUUAUUGGAAUUUUUGAUGUGAUAUUUCAAAAUACAAAAAUUAUUUGUUGAGUUUAGUUGUAGUCAAUUAAUUGGUGUUUUGAUUUCCAACAUAACCUUCAUUCCAUAUAUACAUCCGUUACAAUUGUAACACAUAUUAACUCUUUCUUGUCUGUUACAAAGACCAAAGUUAUGAUUAUUCAUACUCAUUAACACAUUUUAAUUCGACCAAAAUUUCUUACAAUACUUAGCACUCAAACAAUUUCAAAACACACAUAAAUUCUGUGGUUUUACUUUCUGUUCUAAACAUACAAGUCAAUGAAGUCAUCAAAGUAAUUUAUUUCAAUAUCUCUAAAAUAUGCAAUUUUUGUUCUAGCUAGAUGAUGAAUAUAAUUUUUUUGGCGUAGAUGUAUAAAGAUCGAGAUGGAAUAUUUUGAUGGUGAAUUAGACGAGUGAUGAUUGAUGCAGUAGCUAGAUUAAUUAUCAAUCCCAGAAUGUGU
Molecule: RNA transcript, 2184 nt
Organism: Fragaria vesca subsp. vesca
Lineage: Eukaryota; Viridiplantae; Streptophyta; Magnoliopsida; Rosales; Rosaceae
Exons: 6
Source: RefSeq, a predicted model, not a curated record